Molecule: ribosomal RNA, 153 nt
Filed under: uncultured Methanocorpusculum sp.
Lineage: Archaea; Methanobacteriati; Methanobacteriota; Methanomicrobia; Methanomicrobiales; Methanocorpusculaceae
Description: partial 16S ribosomal RNA
Rfam family: Archaeal small subunit ribosomal RNA
Source: RNAcentral
UCCCUACGGGGUGCACCAGGCGCGCAAACUUUACAAUGCGAGCAAUCGUGAUAAGGAAACCCUGAGUGCCUGUCGAUGCAGGCUGUUCAUAUAUCUAAAUCAUAUGUGAAGAAAGGGCAGGGCAAGACCGGUGCCAGCCGCCGCGGUAAUACA